CCUACGUGAGGCAGCAGUGGGGGAUAUUGGACAAUGGGGGAAACCCUGAUCCAGCGACGCCGCGUGAGUGAAGAAGUAUUUCGGUAUGUAAAGCUCUGUCAGCAGGGAAGACAGAAAUGACGGUACCUGACCAAGAAGCCCCGGCUAACUACGUGCCAGCAGCCGCGGUAAUACGUAGGGGGCAAGCGUUAUCCGGAAUUACUGGGUGUAAAGGGAGCGUAGACGGUGAUGCAAGUCUGGAGUGAAAGGCGGGGGCCCAACCCCCGGACUGCUCUGGAAACUGUGUAACUUUAGUGCAGGAGAGGUAAGCGGAAUUCCUAGUGUAGCGGUGAAAUGCGUAGAUAUUAGGAGGAACACCAGUGGCGAAGGCGGCUUACUGGACUGUAACUGACGUUGAGGCUCGAAAGCGUGGGGGCAAACAGGAUUAGAUACCCUUGUAGUC
This 442-nucleotide ribosomal RNA is filed under the name uncultured bacterium. Its description in RNAcentral is "partial 16S ribosomal RNA". It matches the Rfam family "Bacterial small subunit ribosomal RNA", at positions 338 to 795 of the family's 1533-position model. The record is from RNAcentral.